AGUGAACGCUGGCGGUAGGCCUAACACAUGCAAGUCGAACGGCAGCACAGGAGAGCUUGCUCUCUGGGUGGCGAGUGGCGGACGGGUGAGGAAUACAUCGGAAUCUACCUUUUCGUGGGGGAUAACGUAGGGAAACUUACGCUAAUACCGCAUACGACCUUCGGGUGAAAGCAGGGGACCUUCGGGCCUUGCGCGGAUAGAUGAGCCGAUGUCGGAUUAGCUAGUUGGCGGGGUAAAGGCGCACCAAGGCGACGAUCCGUAGAAGGUCUGAGAAGAUGAUCAGCCACACUUGAACUGAGACACGGUCCAGACUCCUACGGGAGGCAGCAGUGGGGAAUAUUGGACAAUGGGCGCAAGCCUGAUCCAGCCAUACCGCGUGGGUGAAGAAGGCCUUCGGGUUGUAAAGCCCUUUUGUUGGGAAAGAAAAGCAACCAGUUAAUACCUGGUUGUUCUGACGGUACCCAAAGAAUAAGCACCGGCUAACUUCGUGCCAGCCGCCGCCGUAA
RNAcentral lists this ribosomal RNA (506 nucleotides) under uncultured bacterium. RNAcentral's name for it is "partial 16S ribosomal RNA". It matches the Rfam family "Bacterial small subunit ribosomal RNA", at positions 29 to 523 of the family's 1533-position model. The record is from RNAcentral.